GGAGAGAUCGCAUAGUGGACUAGUGCGGCGGUCUUGAAAACCGCUAGGGGCGCAAGCCUCUCGUGAGUUCGAAUCUCACUCUCUCCGCCU
Molecule: transfer RNA, 90 nt
Filed under: Candidatus Levybacteria bacterium CG_4_10_14_0_2_um_filter_35_8
Lineage: Bacteria; Candidatus Levyibacteriota
Also listed under: 3 other names
Description: tRNA-Ser
Rfam family: tRNA
About the family: Transfer RNA (tRNA) molecules are approximately 80 nucleotides in length. Their secondary structure includes four short double-helical elements and three loops (D, anti-codon, and T loops). Further hydrogen bonds mediate the characteristic L-shaped molecular structure. tRNAs have two regions of fundamental functional importance: the anti-codon, which is responsible for specific mRNA codon recognition, and the 3' end, to which the tRNAs corresponding amino acid is attached (by aminoacyl-tRNA synthetases). tRNAs cope with the degeneracy of the genetic code in two manners: having more than one tRNA (with a specific anti-codon) for a particular amino acid; and 'wobble' base-pairing, i.e. permitting non-standard base-pairing at the 3rd anti-codon position.
Source: RNAcentral